Salmo salar (Atlantic salmon) is the source of this 54-nucleotide non-coding RNA. The record is from Rfam. Lineage: Eukaryota; Metazoa; Chordata; Actinopteri; Salmoniformes; Salmonidae.
UGCAUUCACUAUUGUAAGUCGCUCUGGAUAAGAGCGUCUGCUAAAUGACUAAAA